GAUGAACGCUGGCGGCGUGCCUAAUACAUGCAAGUCGAGCGAACGGACGAGAAGCUUGCUUUUCUGAUGUUAGCGGCGGACGGGUGAGUAACACGUGGAUAACCUACCUAUAAGACUGGGAUAACUUCGGGAAACCGGAGCUAAUACCGGAUAAUAUUUUGAACCGCAUGGUUCAAAAGUGAAAGACGGUCUUGCUGUCACUUAUAGAUGGAUCCGCGCUGCAUUAGCUAGUUGGUAAGGUAACGGCUUACCAAGGCAACGAUGCAUAGCUGACCUGAGAGGGUGAUCGGCCACACUGGAACUGAGACACGGUCCAGACUCCUACGGGAGGCAGCAGUAGGGAAUCUUCCGCAAUGGGCGAAAGCCUGACGGAGCAACGCCGCGUGAGUGAUGAAGGUCUUCGGAUCGUAAAACUCUGUUAUUAGGGAAGAACAUAUGUGUAAGUAACUGUGCACAUCUUGACGGUACCUAAUCAGAAAGCCACGGCUAACUACGUG
RNAcentral lists this ribosomal RNA (497 nucleotides) under uncultured bacterium. RNAcentral describes it as "partial 16S ribosomal RNA". It matches the Rfam family "Bacterial small subunit ribosomal RNA", at positions 28 to 507 of the family's 1533-position model. The record is from RNAcentral.